Molecule: ribosomal RNA, 91 nt
Filed under: Acinetobacter sp.
Lineage: Bacteria; Pseudomonadati; Pseudomonadota; Gammaproteobacteria; Moraxellales; Moraxellaceae
Also listed under: 1 other name
Source: RNAcentral
CCACCUGAUCCCUUCCCGAACUCAGAAGUGAAACCUCUUUGCGCUGAUGGUAGUGUGGGGUUACCCAUGUGAGAGUAAGUCAUCGCCAGCU